RNAcentral lists this long non-coding RNA (3988 nucleotides) under Gallus gallus (chicken). RNAcentral describes it as "lncRNA (ENSGALG00010014649.1)". Lineage: Eukaryota; Metazoa; Chordata; Aves; Galliformes; Phasianidae. The record is from RNAcentral.
GAAAAGAAAAGGAAAAAAAAAAAAAAAGAAAAAGCCCACAAGAACUUUUCAAAGAGAGAAAUACUUUCAUUUCUUCAGAACAAGACAGCCAUUUUAGGAUUUUCCAGUACUUUGUUUUCCUUUCUUCCCUCCCUCCCUCCCUCCUUCCUCCCUCCCUCCUUCCUUCCCUUCCUUCCUUCCUCCCUUCCUCCCUCCCUCUCUCCCUCCUUCCCUCCCUUCCUCUCUCCCCCCUUCCCUCCUUCCUUCCCUCUUUUUCUUCUUCCCUCCCUUUCUCUUCCUUUUGCUUUCUCUCUUCCUUAUUUCCUUUCUUUCCUUCUUUUUUAGAAGAAACAGAAGCACCUAGAAGUAUUCAAGCCCCUAGAGGAUAUAAAAGACCAUAAAUAGUAGCAUGUGAUAUUUCCUUGGGUGGAGAAUAAUUCUAACACAACACAUUCCUUUUGCAAGUUAGGGUAUGCCCCUGCUGCAGCACCAGGGUAGGUCCUGGGGUGGUUAAUCCAGGCCAAUAUCCCACUUCCAUGGCAGUGCUUCUCCUCUGGCCCCCACAUCUGGUGUCUGGACCACCCCAGGCAUGCUGUGGUGUGAGCUGCAGACAGAAGAUGCUCUGAACAUUCCCACGUUUCUUCUGGAGCUGCCUGGAAUGGACUACAGCUCCUCAUGAGAUGCCCACAGUUGAAACAGUCUGAAUCAGUUAGACAUGGGAGUAUCAACUGAAAAUUUGUAUUUUCAAAAGAAUUGGAAUGGAGACCACUAUGAAGACAGAGAGUGUAUGGGAACUGUUGAAUCACGGCCCGAACCUCUGAUUGAUCAGCCAAGGCGAGCACUGAGUCAGCCGCAGGAGCACAGGUGAAGGCAAUUCACCUGUGUGACUGGAAGGGAUGGAGCCUGGCUGCACCUCUCCCAGACUCCAUUUAAGGGCUGACUGCCACUGAGGAAGGAUCGCUUUCUGGAGAUUGCUCCUCUUGGAGUUUUUAUUUGUGAGCCUAUGACACAGGUACAUCUUUCACCAUCAGGUGCAAUCUAUUUGGGCUCCAACUCUGCCACGCAAAGGCAGCAGACAUACAGUCAGAAAAUUUGAAAAACUGAAUAAAACAAAUCUCCCCUUGCUGGUCCAGUCAAGCCUUAACUGAGACAUCAUUGUUGCAAACCUGGUGUUGACUCGUGAAGCCUGUGGAGAAACCAUUAAAUAGAUGUCAGACUGCUGGAACAUGUCUCUUCAGUGUCCUACCACAGAUCUGAAAGCGCACUGCCAAGAAGCUGCCUUGGGCUGGUGCAGAGGCUGUCUGAAGCCAGCCAAGGGAUGCUGCUGAGGUAGGGACCAACUUCCUGGUCCUUUGCUUUACUCUCUCCUCGCCUGGCUCUCUUUAUACAGACUCACCUUCACCCCUUCACAAUGGCAUAUAUUUGUGAACUGUUUCAAUGCUUUGUAUUUGGAAACGGUUUUAGGAAUGGGAAAAGCAAGAGAGCUGUGCUGGAAAAACACAGAGACCCCUGCUCUGUCUGAAUUAUUUAUAGAUUAAAAUACUUUUCUGAGGUUUGGAGAUUUUUUUUUUCCUUGAGCAAGUUCAAGAGAAAGCAGACUGUGUCCAAAGGAGUUGGAACAAAAUAUAGUUUCAUGGGAAAAUCCUGUGGAUUUUCUCUUCAGAUGUGCUGAUCUAUAGAUUGAUGCGCUCAAGGCAUAACACAAGCAUUAUGAAAACACAGCCCCAGCACUGCAGAACUGGCAAAGCUUCCUCUGUUAUUGUUGACUUGGAGCUAACAACUUGGAAAUUAUUGAUGUAAAUGCUUUAUUAUCGAUUGCACAAUUAAGGCAUGAGUGGAGAAAGGAACCUGCAGCCAGCUAUGGUGUUCGGCUUCAUGUUUUAUGACUCAGAAGCACAUUAUUUAUCUCUGUGUUGCUGCUGGAUGAAACUGAAGAGUGUUUUUAGACAUCAUUUCCCAAAGAUUUUGUCCCUUAACAAGUAAAAUGCUUCGGAUGAAUAUCCAGUCUUAAGCCAGUAGCGCUAUUACAUGGGGACUGCACUUAUGCUUUCAUCUUCUGAAUGUUUAUUCAUAAUGCUGUAGUUAACUAAAUACCUCUUUCUCCAUGAGCCUAAGAAGUCUGCGUCGUUGAUAAACAAGUUCUUUUGCUGAGCCUUUGAAAGCUCCUCCAUGUAAUUAAUGUUCAGGUAAAAAUGUAAGAGAUAAAGAAGAAUUUUUCCAGACACUUCAGGGUUCAGAGAUGAUAACACUAAGACUGUUCUUCCAUCCAUGAUAAUUUUUGUGGGCUACACUCUGACCAGUAUAUAGCUUAAGUUGUGUGAAAACAAACAGGUGUUAUUUAAAAGAUGUAGUAAGGUUUCUACAAAGCUGGAGGAGUAUCUGUUUCUCUUUCUACAUCUCCUGUAGUGUGAGUGGAAUUGCAAAUUUGUAGAGGAGACUAUGGUCAAAAUUUGGGCACAAAUCCAAGAAAUCCUUUGUGUCAACUGGUACAGGCGGUUUUUAGUUAUGUAAACAAAUAGACACUUUGGAAUCAAUUUGUAUAGUGAAUGACAUUGCAAAACUAAGGUGCUUCUCAAAUAUACGUAGUGAGUUGAUUCUGAUGACAGCAAGACUACAGUCUUCCUUGAUGCAAGGGAAAACAAUACAGAGAACAUUUGGGAAAGAAUGGAAGGUAGAUUCAAUGAUAAUUGUUUUCUACUAAAAUAAGAUAUGGAAGUGAAUGUAAAUUUUUUUUCUGUGCCAAAUUUUAUUGCCAAUGCUAAAUAAGCUGGAACUGUGAAAACUAAAACCUCUUUCAAAGAUAACUCAAUUAAUUUGUAGUACUUACUGUUGCUGAUUGUAGCAGCAGUUUCACUUUGGACCUAACACUGAUUUACUGUGGUGGCUGCAUUUGUUCAGCUGAGAUAAAGCAGAAGAGACAUUGUUUGUAAUAACUUCGUCCAUUAAACUCAUAGCCUGUACUGUGUACCACAGAUGAGCGUCCAAUAGUCUACAUAGUUCGGAUUACUAAACGAUUCAGACACCAGUCUGGGCUUUGUCCCAUAAUCAAUAAUCAUCCAUCCUUCAUUUUUAUUGCUAUCUAAGCAUAACUACUAAAUAGAUCUGGUGAGAGAUGUUUACCACUGCCACCACUAAAAUAUGUCCAACAUCCUGCCCAUGAUACAGCAACACUCUUUUUUUCUUUCAAAACAUUUUCAAAGAGAUUUGCUAUAUUGAUGAAGUAGAUUUGCCUUUAAAAGCCAGAAAACUAUGUUGGGAAACCUCAUGCAGCUAGUUUAGAGAACAUCUUUUUACUUAGUUAUUUUCUGAUUGCAUAUACGUUGCAGCCAAAAAGCUGAACUGUAGAUCUGAAUACGUACAGGCUUUGUAGGUUAUGAUCUGAAUUCAAGUUUGGAUCAGAAUGUGAAUUUUGCAAAUCUUUUUUUGUUUCUGUAUGAAAAAACUCUGAAGCCAAGAAUACUCAUAUUUUAAACACUACAAAUUACAUGGGAUAAGCCCAUUACUAAGCAAAACCAGAAUUUACAAUCUAUUACAUGGAGAACUGAAGAUUCUCUUAUUAUUGGCAUUGUAGGUAUUAAUUUGGGUUAAUUAUUCUAUCAUUAUUACAUUUGUUUUAAAUUAUUAGCUCUUACUUUCUGUUUUUCAUUUGUUUGCUUACCUGUGCUGAUUCAAAUUAUGUGAUUGUUCAUGUAGAUUGCAUGGAAUUGUCUUCAUAUAGUCUCAUACUUUUAAAACAGGAAAAUUACAAGCAAAACACUUUUGGCUCUGACUUUUCUGAUGCACAGUCAUUUGAAUUAAAAUUGCAAAACUUUAAGGGUUCUGUGGAUGCUUAUAAAUCACUUUGCACUUUUGAAUACUUGUAGUAAAUAAUAUGAUCCUGUGGUUCUAUGAUUAGCCUUAUUUAAAUUUAAAUUAAAAAAUCUUUUCUAGACAUACUACUCAUUCAUGAAAAAUCAGAAAGAGAUUUGGUAGUGUUAUUUAUUUGUAGUUAGUGGCCAAUAAUAGGAAA